RNAcentral lists this ribosomal RNA (468 nucleotides) under uncultured bacterium. RNAcentral describes it as "partial 16S ribosomal RNA". It matches the Rfam family "Bacterial small subunit ribosomal RNA", at positions 28 to 507 of the family's 1533-position model. The record is from RNAcentral.
GAUGAACGCUGGCGGCGUGCUUAACACAUGCAAGUCGAACGGUGAAGGCGGAGCUUGCUCUGCUGGAUCAGUGGCGAACGGGUGAGUAACACGUGAGCAAUCUGCCCCUGACUCUGGGAUAAGCGCUGGAAACGGCGUCUAAUACUGGAUACGAGCUGCGAAGGCAUCUUCAGCAGCUGGAAAGAAUUUCGGUCAGGGAUGAGCUCGCGGCCUAUCAGCUUGUUGGUGAGGUAAUGGCUCACCAAGGCGUCGACGGGUAGCCGGCCUGAGAGGGUGACCGGCCACACUGGGACUGAGAAACGGCCCAGACUCCUACGGGAGGCAGCAGUGGGGAAUAUUGCACAAUGGGCGAAAGCCUGAUGCAGCAACGCCGCGUGAGGGACGACGGCCUUCGGGUUGUAAACCUCUUUUAGCAGGGAAGAAGCGAAAGUGACGGUACCUGCAGAAAAAGCGCCGGCUAACUACGUG